This 310-nucleotide long non-coding RNA is filed under the name Olea europaea (common olive). RNAcentral describes it as "long non-coding RNA (OEUR_LNC008866)". Lineage: Eukaryota; Viridiplantae; Streptophyta; Magnoliopsida; Lamiales; Oleaceae. The record is from RNAcentral.
CCAUGACAAGAACCACUCUCCAUCAUCAACAACAAAUAAUGGGAAAACGCUCAAAAUUCAUCUCAUACCUUGAAGUCCCCUCUUUGACUCCAAGGUGAAAAUCCUUGGUGAAAUCAUAUCUAAUCUCGUAUGCGAGUGUCGAGAAGUUGCUUGAAGAUACUGGCAUCCGGGUAUAACAAGAAGACAUAGAGGAGGUACUCAACUUUCAUAUGGGAUCCCGGGCCUGACAGUGAAGUUUUCUGAUGAUUCGGGUUCCAGAUGAAUGAUGAGCAUAGUCCGUAUGCUGGGAAUUUGGUUGUGGAUUUGUUGG